Molecule: long non-coding RNA, 381 nt
Filed under: Ursus maritimus (polar bear)
Lineage: Eukaryota; Metazoa; Chordata; Mammalia; Carnivora; Ursidae
Description: lncRNA (ENSUMAG00000013102.1)
Source: RNAcentral
AUGGCCGCUCAGGAGGCCGUGGCUGGGAAGGUGCCGGUGGACAGCGUGGAAGAGGCGGAGCAGACCCUCGCGGCCCCCGCGGAGCUGGCCGCCCAGAAGCGCGAACAGAGGCUGCGCAAAUUCCGGGAGCUGCACCUGAAGCGGAAUGAAGCUCGAAAGUUAAAUCACCAGAAGUUGUGGAGGAAGAUAAAAGACUUAAACUACUUGCAAAGUGGGAGGCUAAAAAAGCUCGUCUGGAAUGGGAGCUGCAGGAAGAAGAAAAGAAAAAAUGGAGAGGAGUUCUACCCAACAUCCAACAGUCUUCUUCAUGGAACCCAUGUGCCCUCCACAGAGGAAAUUGAUAGGAUGGUCAUAGACUGGGAAAAGCAAAUUGAAAAAUGA